CGAUAAGUCUUCUAUGUCUGCCCUCAUUGGCCAUAGUGGCAGCCACUGAAUUGUUUCCUCUCAGUGUGAUUCCUGUGUAUAAUUGUCUGUUGCUUUUGGCAUGGUGCAGACUUCGUUUUAUAAAUAGCUACUUUCUGUUCUGAAUUGCUAACAGCAUGUGGUAUUUUUAGUGCUGGAUUAGGUGUUUGGUGGCCCAUGAGGAUUUGAUUACCAGGUUUAUCGGGCUCAAAGCGAGGUGAUCAGUCUGAAAAUUGACCCCGUAAAUCUCCACACAGCAUGCAUGAUGCCUGGGUUCUGCACACCUGAAUCAGCACAAGACCUUAUCACCUCAUCAAGAGACGUUAUUUUGACUGUGCAGUUGUUAAAUUGUCCGUACAGGUGAGGGGUUGGAUUUGGGACUUUGCGUCACCUGCAUAUUUCAUAUCUCAUUUCUCUGUUUGUGACUGACACGUGCGUCGGCAUCACUGUGAAAAGCCCCUGUUAACUACCCCGUGCUGUGCAUGGC
Astatotilapia calliptera (eastern happy) is the source of this 505-nucleotide long non-coding RNA. NCBI's taxonomy places the organism in Eukaryota, Metazoa, Chordata, Actinopteri, Cichliformes, Cichlidae. The record is from Ensembl.